This 253-nucleotide ribosomal RNA is filed under the name uncultured bacterium. RNAcentral's name for it is "partial 16S ribosomal RNA". It matches the Rfam family "Bacterial small subunit ribosomal RNA", at positions 524 to 776 of the family's 1533-position model. The record is from RNAcentral.
UACGAAGGGGGCUAGCGUUGCCCGGAAUCACUGGGCGUAAAGCGCACGUAGGCGGCUUUUUAAGUCAGGGGUGAAAUCCUGGAGCUCAACUCCAGAACUGCCUUUGAUACUGGGAAGCUUGAGUCCGGGAGAGGUGAGUGGAACUCCGAGUGUAGAGGUGAAAUUCGUAGAUAUUCGGAAGAACACCAGUGGCGAAGGCGGCUCACUGGCCCGGUACUGACGCUGAGGUGCGAAAGCGUGGGGAGCAAACAGG